UAAUAGGUCUGUGAUGCCCUUAGAUGUCC
RNAcentral lists this small RNA (29 nucleotides) under Bombyx mori (domestic silkworm). Its description in RNAcentral is "ovarian small RNA-19591". Lineage: Eukaryota; Metazoa; Arthropoda; Insecta; Lepidoptera; Bombycidae. The record is from RNAcentral.